CAGCACCUGCACCAGCAGAGCGAGGAGCUCUGUCAGAAGCUCUUCAAAAGGCGCCGCAGCCAGAACGGAGAGCGCCGGGCAGGGGCCGGCUCGGCCACGGGCGCCUUGCGGGGCGCGGCAUGAGCCGGGCUGGGAGCGGCGGAACACGGGCGGGACACGAGCAGAGGGAGUGGGAGCGGGACAACGGGACGGAGAACGAGCUGGAAGUCGAGCGGAAAAUGAUCGAGAGAGGCGCUGCCGCUGCCGCUGCCGCUGCUGCUGCUGCUGCUGCUGAGCCGCCGGAGCGCCGUGGCCUCGGGAACCCAGCGGAGGAGCCGCCGCCCGCCCCGCGGAACAAAACGAACAAACAAAAGCCCGAACUAACUCAUAUUAGAGAAGCUUCCAGAGGUCGUGGCAGCAGAGUUCCAGCACCUCACCACCCUCGCAGUCAGGAGUUUUUUUCUGAAUAUCGAAUUUACACCUAGUUAUUUUGCGGCGGAGCACCUCCAUAUGCAGGUUUCUUUUUUUCAUCUGAGGGCGAGAGCGAAACUGGAGGGUACAUGAGGUCACUGUACCAUUGUCGUCUUACCAUCCUCUGUGCAGGGAAGAGGCAGAGAAUGAAGUGGUUGUAGUGAAAAACUGCUUUUCCAACAGCAGUGUGAGCUCUUCUUUACGAACACGCAGUACUAAUAGUGCGCGGUGAGAAGCGACUUGUAAGCAUCCUGCUCCACCAAGCGUCUGCAAUUGCAUCUGCAGUACUGGGAAAGUCACGAUCGUUUUGCUGUAAUCCCUCUGCUUGUGACUGCAAACGGAUCGUGUUUUUCCCUAUCCCUGCUCAGGUGGCAGGGGAACAAAUUGCGUCAAAGUACCGAGGAAAAUUACUUGAAACACUUGGCUACAGCGCUGGAUGGUGUUUUGAGGAGAAAGAUGGAUGAGAUACUGACAUAAUGGGAACAUGACACCUGCAUACACCCCUCAAGAAACGCAACUGGAGCACCAAUCCAUGCUGCAAUUUCAGUACUGCAAUUUCAGGUUUUUCUUUUAAGUCUUUCCCCAGUCUCAUGAUGGAGCAAAAAAAUAUUUUAUUUUCAUGAUAUUCCAUAACAUUGUGAUUGUUUACUUUUUAUAUACAAAAAAGUAGAAUGGCUGUGGAAAAAUGAAAGUCUCAUAAAAAAUUUUUUCACUGAUUAAGAUUUUCUGAAAUAUUAGAAAUGUCAAAGCACUCUGAUAGUAUUUUCUUCUAAUACUGAGGAUCUUCCACAGCAGAAAACAGUUGUGUACAGGCAGUGCAAUAUGUUCUCCAUCCACCCACUGGGGAGGUUUUACACCCACUUCCCAAAACAGCUUUCAAGUCACAAGAGACAGGAACUGUGUCUCUGAUAAGGUUUUCUUCAGCUAUGGUAAAUGUAACUUAAGCAAACAUUUUUAUUACCUGUGGUAAGUAACUUUCUGUAAGCAAAAUUAUCACUGCUGUUGCUUUAGUCAUGUACUAUAUAUUCACUAGAGUUUUGUUCACAUUAAGUCCUCACAACAUUAAUUUCCUGUGCAUUACCCCAUAGGCUGUAUCCUGUGAUUACAUUAAAUUGUUGUUUUGUAUUGACUUCUAAUAGCAUCUUUUUGGAAAAAUGCAAUAGAAUAUAGGCAAAUCUAGUGCUAAUGAAUGUGUUUUUACUGUUAACAUUUCUUUUAUUUUUGGAGCCCCAGCAUGGAGGAACAAAAAAGAGGUGAUGGAUUUGUCUUGCUGACGUCGCUGGACAGCUCUCACUCUGUCGUUUUGCCUGAGAGUUGAGCCAAGCCAAUAGUGGGCUCCUGCAAGUGGGCACUUCAAACCAUCUGCUCUUUUAUUUCAUUUCGUGGCUGGAAAGAAGACCCUUCUGUAGGACUGAUCUUCACUCUUGCAUGUGUCUACUGGGUAUUUAGCUUUUUCAUGUGAAGAGAAGAGACUUCUAGCAAAAAGAAUGUUUUUCCUCACUUGGUAGUGUUACUCCAAGGGCACAGUGUGGAAGACAGAAAAACUUGCCAAGUGGAUGAACAACUAAGAAUGAUGUCUACCUGCAAAGAAACAGGUGGAAAAAUGUUACCAAAAUGGGAAAGCUCUUAGCAGUUCUUUCAGUCUAUACAAAAGGUAUUUGUGGGCUAGGAGGGGGGUGGUCUAAUUCAAGGCUUUCUCAUUGCUGUUGAUCUGACAGUGAAGUAUUUUUAUAGAAAAUUACUGCGAAUUGCUUUCAGAUGCUACAUUGGACAAGCAUUUGCAACUUGGCAAGCUGAGAUGGAUUCAUGCAUUGUGUUCCUCUGCUGUGAUUAGGAUGGAGAUACAAUUAGUAUUGUGUCUGGGGUUUGGGCUGUUUGGGGUUUUGUUUCUUCCUUUUGUUUGUUUUUUUUCGUUUAUUCUGGCAAGGUGCUUUGGGUGGGUAAGUGUAGAGACAAAUCUAAAGGCUAGUUGUAUUUCAGGAGACUAAACCUUCCUGUUGUUAAGAACUACUUCUGGACCUCCCAAGCUGCAUUCUAGGGUUGUGAUCCCUGCUGCAUUGCCUGAUGAUGCAGGAGUUUUGCUCUCAUGUCUGUCACUGCCUUUACAGCAGUCACAGGCUCCUGGGAGAUGUGCCCUCUGCCUUCCUCUCACCUGACUACCCAAGCCCAGCUGUCUCCCCUCAGAGGCACUGUGCUUCAGGUCCCUAACAAUUUUUGUAGUCUCA
This is a long non-coding RNA of Oenanthe melanoleuca, 2675 nucleotides long. RefSeq lists it as uncharacterized. The transcript has 3 exons. The record is from RefSeq and is a predicted model, not a curated record. NCBI's taxonomy places the organism in Eukaryota, Metazoa, Chordata, Aves, Passeriformes, Muscicapidae.